This is a non-coding RNA of Salvelinus sp. IW2-2015, 10549 nucleotides long. The record is from RefSeq and is a predicted model, not a curated record. Lineage: Eukaryota; Metazoa; Chordata; Actinopteri; Salmoniformes; Salmonidae.
GCGCGGUUUUGCUGCGUGCGCACGUCAACAUAUCAAAAUCCCUUCUAUCUUUGGUGGAAGUUUCACUUUAUAUGAGGAGAAAAAACAUCAAGAGAUGCAUGCCCCCCCAAAUCUGUUGAUGGAACCUGAUACACGACCCUAGAGCAUCAUGAGCUUGGUCCUACACGAGCUCCUGGUCUGCUGCAGAGGUUUAGAGAAUGACAAAGCAACUGAGAGAAAGAAAGAGGCUGAUCGCUUCAGACAGCUCAUCCGGUCUCCUGACACAGUGGAGGAGCUGGAUCGCAUUUCUGGAACCAGAGCUGCUAAAAGUUCCAAGCAGCUCACCUGGAAUGCAGUCUUCAGGUUUUUGCAGAAGUAUCUGCAGAAAGAGACUGAGCUGCUCCAGUCAGGGAAAGCCAACGUGUCAGCCACCACACAGGCUAACCGUCAGAAGAAGAUGCAGGAGAUCAGCAGCCUGGUCAAAUACUUCAUCCGCUGUGCCAACAAGAGAGGGCCUCGGCUGAAUUGUGGUGAGCUCCUGAAUCAUGUGAUGGAGAUUCUGCGGAGCUCAUUCAGCUGCUCGGCCUAUGGGGAGGACUACAGCAGCAUCUUGCUCAAGAACAUCCUGUCUGUCCGCAAGUACUGGUGUGAGAUCACCCAGCAGCAGUGGCACAAUUUGCUGGAUCUAUAUUGUGGCCUUUUCACUGGUUCCUCCAAGGCCAUAAAUCGUGUGCUUGUGAGCAGGAUCAUCCACACUGCAGUCCAGGGCUGCUGUCUGCAGACUGAGGGCUUCAGCCAUACACUCUUCAGCUUCUUCUCCAGAGCACUGCUCAAUGCCAGGCAGGAGAGACACUUGGCAGUGGUGGAGCACUUGGUCUCUGCUCUGAACGUCUUCCUGAGGUCUGCUGCCAUGAACUGCCGUAUCAGGGUGUGUCGGCUGGGUGAGGAGCUCCUGCCCUCUGUGCUCUAUGUGUGGACACAGAUGAGGCCCAGCACCACUCUCAAAGAGGAGAUAGUAGAGUUCUUCAACCUGCAGCUCUGUGUACAUCAUCCCAAAGGAUCAAAGACACAAGACACAGGAGCCUACGCUGAGGACUGGGUCAAAUGGCAGAGUCUACUCUAUAACCUGUAUGAUGCCCUGGUGAGUGAGAUCAGCCAGAUUGGGAGCCGGGGGAAAUAUGCCACAGGGUCGCGCCACAUCGCUGUGAAGGAGAACCUUAUGGAGCUAACUGCAGAAAUCUGCCAUCAGCUCUUUAGCGAGGAUUGUAACCUCCAGGUUCUGGAGGUGACUCAGGCCCACCUCAGAGCCACCCAGAGAGGCAGUCCACACGGCACGCCCAGCAAGCGUAGACGCAUCGAGCUGGGCUGGGAGGUUCUCCGAGACCACCUGCAGCCACACCAUAGUGACUUUGACAUCAUACCAUGGUUACAGAUCACAUCAGUGUUGACCUCUAAGUACCCCUCCAUGGUGCCUGGCCAGGAGCUGGUUCCUCUGCUGUCCGUCCUGUGCCAGCUGCUGGGGGAGCAGCGGCGGGGUGACAGGGGGCCCUACGUGCUGCGCUGCCUGAGGGAGGUGGCUCGCUGCCAGGCCACACACCCAGAGAGGGCCCAAUCCUACAGGGUUGAACUGGGCAGGCUGUGGGGCCGUGUCUGGGCCCUGGCUCUACGGGGGGUCAGCUCCCCCCAAACUGAGGCCCUCAGUCUGGCCCUGCUGUCCACCAUCCUCCAGGGAGCCUUCAUUCCCAUUGACAGAGAGCUCUGGAAGCUCUUCUCUGGCUCGGCCUGCAAGCCCUCUGAUGCUGCUGCUCUGUGUUUGGCCCAGGCCCUUCUCAAGUGUCCUGUUCUUAAGAGCCUGGGCACUGGGUGGGACCAUGCAGGGGCUGUGGAGGGGGUCGGGCCACCCAGCCUCAAGGAGAACAUCAUGAGCUGGCUGCUGAUGAACGAACAGAGUGAAGAGGCAGAGGAGAGCUCAAGACCACACCCCAUCGUCUGCAGGGAUUUUCCUCAUAACCUAAUCCCCAGAAUCCUUGUGCCUUUGACCCUCAAAGACACCCGAGCUGGCAUUAUGUUUCUCCUUGGAGCAAAGGGACUUGAGAGUGCUGUGAUGCAAGAUCAAACACAAGUGGAAGUUAAAGGUGCCCUGAGUGAGAUUGAGAGCAUGUACCUGCAGUUCAGCUUUGACGAGAUGCCCUCUAACCCCAUGGUGAAAGAGAUGGUGUCCUCAGCCGGCACCCAGCUCACUGUUGUCCCCAGCCUAAAACACAAGCUGGAGCAGGGCCUCUUGUCUGUGGCUGACCACCUACUCAACUGCUACUCCCCAGAUUCUCAGACCACACCACCAGAAUGCCUGGUUCGUUGUUCAAGUCUUCUUACUGGCGRUUUAGCAGGAUAUGUCUCUACUGGUCUCCUGACUGAGGAAGAAGCCUGCCAUUCCCAACUCUUCCUAAAGGCCAAGGCACUGGUUCAGGAUUUUAGUGAGUACAUAUCUAAUGUGAAGGUGAAGAUGGCAGAGGAUGGGACAAUGACCACACUCAGGUCUGUCAUGCGGCUGUGCACACAGUGUGUCAACAGAGGGGUUAAGGACAGUAUGAGCUCUGUCUCUUGCAACUUGUUCAUGAAGAUUUUCCCUGCGAGACUUUUGACUGAACUGGCAGAAAUAUGCAAACUGUUGCUGAACAGCUCCUGUAAGAGAGGCAGUGUGGGGAUUGAGGAGGAGACCACAGAUGAGGACUGGGACAUGACGAGGACACAGGCUGACCAGCAGGAGGACAUUGACCUGUUUGAUGAUGGAGACGAACCACAGACCAGCACAUCUAAGGGGACUCACAGACAGAAUGUGGACCCCAAUGACACCCAGUGUGGUCCUGAUGCUAAAAGCCUACUGGCUGAGGAGCAUUUGGCCCAGCAGGAUUUAGCCAUCUUGGCCAGUCUGGAGUUCCUGUCCCUGUGUGUAUCGGCUGAGUUUAUCCACGGGCUCUCUUUCAAACCAGUGGAGGUCCGCCGCAAGUUACUACUGCUGCUGGAGCAGAUAGACUGCACCAAGCCACUACACCUCAACAUGUACCUGGUCCUUCUGAAGAAACUACCUGCUGAGGACACAUCGCUGGCAGCUGAAGAGUUUGACUCACUCCUCAGACCUCUGGCGGAUCUUUGCUCAUUGUACCGCCAGGACCAGGAGAUCUGUGCUGCAGUGCUGCUGGGUCUGCUACCGUCUAUCCGUAGUCUGGGCCGUACUCAGGACCAGCAUAAUGACAUGAGACACGUCCAGGGAGCUCUGCUCCAAGUGGUCUCUGGAUUCUGCAUUUUGGGCAGAACGGGGAAAUGCACAGCAAUUGUAAAGGUGGCAUUAAUUCACUGUCUACUGGCUCUACUGGAGGCUGACCCUUGCUGUAAGUGGGCGGUCCUUACCCUGAGGGAGGAGGAGCUUCCAGUGUCCGUCAUCCUCCCGUCCCACCUGUCCGACUCUCACCAUCACGUACGAAUGCUUGCAGCCAUGACAGUGGAAAGGCUGUUCUUGGAGAUGACACCAGACAGCUUGGAGAAGAGAAAGAUGCUUCCUCUGAAAUGCCAGCAGACAGCCUUUGAGAACAUCUACCUGAAAGCCCAAGAAGGGAUGAGGGUCCAGAAGAACAGCUCUCCUGAAGACCUGAGUGACGAGACCUUUAACCGCAAGGCCACGCUGUUGAAGAGUGUGUCGGUGGUGCUGUGCUGCAGCCCCGUCUGUGAGAAACAGUCCCUCUUCGCCCUCUUCCAGUCCUACAAGGAGAACAACAUAGAGGAGCCGCUCAUCAAAAAGGUCCUGGGCAGUGUGUCCAGAGCUCUGGGCUACAGGAGUGUGGAGGCAUUUGUCAGCUCUCACCUGGAUUACCUGGUGGCAGAGUGGCUGGGCCAGCAUGGCUACACUCUGGAGUCCUUCCCAUACACGCUGCUCAACCACGCCACUCUCAAGGACUUCUACAGCUCCUCCUAUCAGGUCCUUAUCCCACACCUGGUCUUCCUGGAUGACUUUAAGCAGGUGAAGUCCAUCAGCACCCACCUGGGUAAGGACUGGAAGAAGCUGCUGGCCAACUGCUUCCCUAAGAUCAUGGUUAACAUCCUGCCCUACUUUGCCGUGUCGGGCCAGGAUGCCCAAGUGGCCCAGCAGAGAGAGAAGGCCCACAGGGUCUAUGACCUACUCAAGGACAGCAACUGCCUGGGCAAACCGCAAAUCGACAGCCUGAUUCACAGUAACCUGUCAGACAUUGUGGUGGAGCUGUUGAUGACCCUGUAUGAAGGGGCUGCUACUGAGGAGGGGGGCAGAGGGGACCUGAGAAGGUUCAUAGGGGAACUGGACCCAGCCCCAAACCCACCCUAUUUCAGCUCCUAUGUCAUAAAAGCCACACUGGACUAUCUCAGCUCGUGUCACAGUGCCAAUCUCAAGUCCCUGGUGGCCAUUUUAUCCAAGACUCCGAUCUCCAUCCAGAGGAUCCUACUGGCGGUGUGUCAGAAGGCAGCUGAGACGAUCAAUGCCUACGAGAGGCACCGCAUCCUGCUGAUGUACUACCUGUUUGUCAGCCUGCUGCUCAAGGAGGUCAAGGACGGUCUGGGGGGAGCCUGGGCCUUCGUCCUCCGAGACAUAAUUUACACACUCAUCCACCACAUCAACAGCAGGCCUGCCCAGUUGGACGAGGUGUCCAGCCGUAGUUUCUCCCUGUGUUGUGACCUACUGACCUCUGUGUGUCGCACGGCCGUGCAAUUCUGUGACGAUGCUGUGGAGAGCCACCUCCAGGUCAUCGUUGGUACUCUCACUGCCCAGGUGACAAACCAACUUGCUAUCUCACAGCAGGUGCUCAGUCUGUUGAAGUUCCUGGUCGUAGAGAGUCAGGACAAGCUGAAGAGUGCCAUCCAGAAGUUAGAGCCCUUCCCAGACCGACCUGAGUUCAGAGAGCUGAGGGCCGUGCAGCACACACUGAAGUACAGCYCAGGGAAAUUCACUCUCAGACAGGAGAUAGCCCACUUCCUGUCUGUGGCUUCCUGUGACUCCCUGCCUCUGACCAGACUGGAGGGGCUGAAGGACCUGAGGAGACAGCUCCACAACAACAAGAGCCAGAUCAGACCGCUGCUGAGAGAGUGCCUCGCGGACCCUGAAGAGAGUGUGUUGGUGCUGCUGGUCCUUAACCUACUACAGCUCUGUAAGCUAGCAGCCAAUCACCCUGGAGGAAGAGACAUCUUAGAGGCUGCAGGGAGCUGUCUGGGAGAGCUGGGGCCUGUGGAUUUCUCCACCAUCGCUCUACUCCAUGGGAAGGACCAGCUCAAUGCCAGAGCUGUAUCACUCUUCUCUCCAGUGGAACCACAGUGGCUCUACAUCAUCCUGAACUGCAUCAACAACGCCCUCACACACCACUGUAUUGAGGUGAGGCAAGCUGCUGUCCAGAGUCUGAAGGACAUCUUGGCCACCCAGGCUGGAGCUGACUUCUGGGAGAUCCAUAAAGACAACCGUGACCCCAUGCUGGCUUACCUCAACCCUUUUAGAUCUACCAAGAAGAAGGUGGUCGGGAUGAGUGAGGAGGUGAGCUUGGUGGCUAGGGAGCGGUUGGAGAGCCAGGACCUGUGGGUGCCUGAGGCUGGCGGCCAUAAGGCCUGGUUGAAGACGCUCUGCAUGGUUCUGCUGGACAGUGGAGGGGUCAGGAGUGAGGCUCUGCUGCUUUCCCGGCCCCUGUGUCUGGUGAAAACAGACUUCUGCCAGAGGGUGCUGCCGCUCAUCAUCCAUGACAUUCUGCUGGGGGACUCUGACGGCUCCUGGAGGAAGCUCCUCUCCACACACAUCCAGGACUUUUUCACCAGCUGUUCCAGUCGUGCCCGGGCCUCCAGCCGCUCCACCACUCCUCUCCCCUCCGACUCUGCAGGAGAGUCGGACAUCUCCAACCAGGGUCCGUUGGAUAAGGCCUCUCUGCGCACCAUGCUCUCUGUCAUUAACUAUCUGAGGCAGCAACAAAGACCUCUAGAAUCUGAUAGUAACUUGUGUGGUACGGUGUGCCACUCUAACUUCUGGUUGGAGCUGAACUACCUGGAGGUGGCCAGGGCGGCCCAGUCCUGCUCAGCCCACUUCACAGCCCUGCUCUACUCUGAGAUCUACGUAGACAAGAUCAAGACUAACAUGGAGGAGAACCGCAGAAAUCCAGCCAGAGCGUCGCGCAGAAUCACAUUUGAUGAGAGCAGUCAGAACUUCCCCAUCUUCAGUCUGACAGAGGAGAGUGUGAAAGACACUGGUAUCAGUCUACAGGACCUACUGAUUGAGGUGUAUCGUAGUAUUGGGGAGCCAGACAGUCUGUAUGGGUGUGGAGGUGGGAAGAUGACCAGCGCUCUCACCAGGAUUCGGACCUAUGAGCAUGAGGCGAUGUGGGGAAAGGCUCUGACCUCCUACGACCUCCACUCCAAUCUUCCUGAUGGCACACGGCAAGUGGGCAUUGUGGAGGGUCUGCAGAACAUUGGUCUGAGCAGUAUCCUGGCCACCUACCUGCGGGGUCUGGAGAGUGAGGGGGUGGAGUGGGGGGCGGAGCUAAGGGAGCUCAGGUUUCAGGCCGCCUGGAGGAACAUGCAGUGGGACUGUGACCUAUCAGAGAGGAAUGAGAAAUUGAACCCUGGCUUCAACGAGUCAGUGUUCUGCUCCCUGCAGGCUUUGAGAGACAAAGAGUUUUCCACAUUCGAUCAAACUCUUAAAUAUGCCAGGGGCAAUGAGGUGGAGGAACUGUGCAGAGGCAGUCUGGAGGCAGUGUCCUCUCUCUACCCUGCUCUACGGAACCUCCAGAGGAUCAGUGAGCUGGAGAGCAUCCGACAACUCUUCUCCAAGCCCCUGACCGACGUAGGCCUGGCCGAGGUGUGUUCCCAUUGGCAGCAGCACUCCCAGCUGCUGGUGGACAGUGACUUUACGCUGGUGGAGCCCAUCCUGGCCCUGCGCUCCGUGGCCCAGGAGACCCUAAUCUCCCAGGAGAGAGACCCUGAWAAGAACAAGUACCUCAGCACUGUCCUCACCUCCCACCUCAUGGAGCUCUGCCAACUGGCCCGCGCCGCAGGAAACACACAGCUGGCAGAGCGGGCAGUUUUCCAGAUGAAGCAGCAUGGCGGAGGAGGGGGGCGGGGCUCCACAGCGUCGUCAUGGCAGCUGGAGGAGGCCCAGGUGUUUUGGGCGAAGGGAGAGCAGGGUCUUGCUCUGGGGCUACUGAGACAGAUGAUCCACACUCUGGAGGAGCAGGUUAACUUUAACCCUGCCCUGGUGCCGGUGUUCACGGAGUGCCUGAGGCUGUGUGGAAACUGGCUGGCAGAGACGUGCCUGGAGAGCCCUGGGGUCAUCCUGGAGAAGUACCUGGAGAGGGCAGUGGAGGUGAUCGAGGGCCAUGCGAUAGGUUCAGACACCAAGCUGCAGAGCCAGAGGACGCAGGCCUUCCUGUCCCUGGCCAGGUUCUCAGAUGCCCAGUACCAGGGCAUUGAUAACUACAUGAAGUCAUCUGAGUUUGAGAACAAACAGGCUCUGCUGGAGAAGGCCAAGGAGGAGGUGGACUUGAUGAGGGAGCGCAAGGUCGGCACCAACAGGUACACAGUGAAGGUGCAGAGGGAGUUGGAGCUGGAUGAGAGGGCUCUGUCCAACCUGCAGGCUGACAGAAGGAGGUUCCUGUGUAAGGCUGUGGAGAACUACAUCCAUUGUCUGGAGCAGGGUGAGGAGCACGACACCUGGGUGUUCCGCCUGGCCUCACUGUGGCUGGAGAACGCUGACGUCAAGAUAGUCAACGACAUGAUGAAGGGAGGUGUGAACAGGAUCCCGUCCUAUAAGUUUCUGCCUCUCAUGUACCAGCUGGCUGCCCGCAUGGGGACCAAAAUGUCUGCUACAGUGGCAGAGGAUGUGGGCUUCCAUGGUGUUCUCAAUGAGCUGAUCUGCCUGUCGUGUCUGGAGCACCCUCACCACACCCUCUUCAUCAUCCUGGCUCUGGUCAACGCUAACAAGGACGAGAGCUUCUCCCGCAGCCGCCUGUCCAAGAGCACCCCGCGCCAUUCCUCCCAACUGGACCUGGAGCGGUCUGAGGUGGCCCAGAGGAUAAUGAACAAGAUCAGGAAGAAGAGAGCUCAGAUGAUCAGAGGCAUAGAGGUCCUCUGUGAUGCCUACAUCACUCUGGCCUACAUGGACGCCAGUCGACACAAGACAGAGAAAAAAGCCAUCCUCAUCCCCUCUGACCAGCCCAUCAUGCAGAUAAAGAACCUAGAUGAUGUCAUCAUUCCUACAAUGGAGAUCAAGGUGGACCCCUCGGGUAAAUAUGACAACCUGGUGACCAUCAAGUCCUUCAAGCCUCACUUUCACCUGGCCGGAGGGGUCAACCUGCCCAAGAUCAUUGACUGUGUGGGAUCAGACGGGAAGAGCAGACGACAACUGGUCAAGGGCCAGGAUGACCUGCGGCAGGAUGCUGUGAUGCAGCAGGUGUUCCACAUGUGUUCUAUGCUGCUGCAGCGCAACACUGAGACACGCAAGAGGAAACUCAACAUCCGACGCUACAAGGUGGUGCCCUUCUCCCAGCGUAGUGGGGUUCUAGAAUGGUGCUCGGGGACCGUCCCUAUAGGGGAUUUCCUCAUAGACCCACAAAAGGGCGCUCACACACGCUUCUGCCCCCAAGACUGGACCAGCAUAACCUGCCGGAAAAAGAUGAUGGAGUCUCAGAGGCUUGGUUCCGAUGGGAAGACCCAGGCUUUCAGUGAGGUGUGUCAGAACUUCCGCCCUGUCUUCCGGUACUUCUGCAUGGAGCGAUUCCUGGACCCGGCAGUGUGGCUGGAAAAACGGCUGGCCUACACUCGCAGUGUGGCCACUUCCUCCAUCGUGGGCUACAUUGUUGGACUGGGGGAUAGGCACAUUCAGAACAUCCUUAUAGACGAACAGACAGCUGAACUGGUGCAUAUUGAUUUGGGUGUAGCGUUUGAACAGGGCAAGAUUCUCCCAACUCCUGAGACUGUUCCCUUCAGGCUAUCCAGAGAUAUUGUGGAUGGGAUGGGCAUAACGGGGGUGGAGGGCGUUUUCAGAAGAUGCUGUGAGAAGACCAUGGAGGUCAUGAGGAGUUCACAAGAGUCCUUGCUGACUAUUGUAGAGGUACUGCUGUACGACCCUCUGUUUGACUGGACCAUGAACCCUCUCAAGGCCUUCUACCUGCAGCAGCAGCAUGAUGAGCAGGCUGAGCUCCAGGCCACGCUCAACUCUACACUGGGGGGAGACAUCCUGGAGGCCCACCGCAAGUCCAGUGAAGCUGUGUGGCUCCAGUUUUCUUCUGCAAGCCUAUUUGUCUGACAUUGGAUCGUGGAGGACAGUGUGCUCAGAUGGAUGGGCAGAUCACCAUGGGAAGGCAGCCUAACAGCGUUUAGGAUACAGCAGAGACACAUAUGUUAAAUCUGGCCAACAAAAGACAAAUGCCAGUGGAUUCUUAAUGCUGAAGUCUGGGUCAAGCCCUGACACACCCAUAAUGCAACAGCUUGGGCGUCAGUGAAAAAAAUCGAAACCUGUCCCAGUGUUCAUGGGGUGACCCUGAAGUGCAUAGACUGUGGUACCAGAGUAGUCUCCAAUUUGAGUCGUGUAGUGGGGGGCCAGGAGGCUAGUUUGGGGGCCUUGCCAUGGCAGGUCAGCCUCCAGGUCUUUCACGUCUGCGGCGGUUCCAUCAUCACCCCAUACUGGAUAGUGAUGGGAGCACACUGCGUAGUGGAGCUCAGGCUCCAGCUCUUUGAUGGAAGCUGAGGUGUCACUGAUAGACAGGAUCAUCUCUAACAGRUCCUCUGUCUACAAUGGGAAGAUCACACAGGAUAUGAAAUGUGCCGGCAGGCUGGAGGUAGGAGUGGACUCAUGCCAGGUAAAAGAUAACUGACCCCUCUGCCUCAUAGGUCCCUAUUAGCCUGGGUACCAGACCUGGUUGUGCAGUCAUUCCACUCCUUGCCCUCCUUGUCAUAUGCCAGGAGUGGAAUGAUGGAACAAACAGGUCUGGUACCCAGGAUAGGUCCCUAUAUUUUUUACCAGUUUUUACUGGUCCGAUUAAGGGUUUUUAGAAAAACUUAGAGCCCCACUCAAAUUCUGUUUACUCUGAAUGACAAAAUAUAUUUGAAGGUUAAGAAAAAUAAAGACAAUUGAUGAUCUAUUAUAUCAUGAAAGUAUCAGGAGCCUAAAUCAUGUUUGAUUUGAUCACUUGCUCUGUUCAUUCAUGGUGUCAUUCUGAUUUAAGAACAUCUUAACUUAUAAACAAGAUGUUUAAAGACAGUUGGAUAAGGCUUUCACACUGCCACAGCAAUGUACCUUUGUUCUGUUUCUAUAAAAGUCAAACAAGAGUAUCAUACCAGUGGAAUCAUACAAUUCCACUUAUCCUGUACAAACAUAGCAGUGACAUCAAGGGUGUUCCUCCGCUUUGAACAGAUCAUACAGAGGGUUUUCAUGCCUUUAUGUAACAUGCUCUCUGACCUUGGUCAAACAAAACCUCCAUUAUAUACUGUGCCUUUAGCUUUUGUUACUUCUAGGUUAGACUACUGCAAUGCUCUACUUUCCGGCUACCCGGAUAAAGCACUAAAUAAACUUCAG